CUUCUUCUUCUUCCUUCUCCAAGCCUGAAAGAAACAAUUUUGAACUAUAACGGAUACUAUUGAUCAAGAAUUGUGUAAUGGUUCAUAAUCAAAAGAACAUAAUACGCGAGUAUCAGAUAGUUUCGAGGUGAAAUACGAUUUUAUUGAAGGACAAAGCAACAUUUUUGUAUGAGGAAACAAAUUCGAAUUCGUCGUGAUGUUGUGCACAAAACUCUGUUCUUCAUGUGAUUAAGUCUGAGAUUAUAAACACAAUGUAGCGAUGGUUGCCUAACAAUGUGUGACAUUGUGUAAUUAGUAAAUAGCAACAGCGGAAUCAGGGAUAGGCAAACCUAGACCACCGCCCAGGGCUGUUCGGUUUCAAAGUGAAAAAAUCCUUUGUAAAAUUUUCAAAAUCAAAGUUUCUGCUCAGUGUGGUUUCGAAUUUUGCCCAGUAUUGCUUUCAGAAUACAGUAAACUUGAAAUCCUGCCCAGGGCCUCGGACCAUCCUGGUUCUACUAUUGGCAAUUAGUCGCUCUUCGAUUGAUGUCGAUCUUAAGAAGUUUACUCAUGUUCUAAAAUCCGAAUCAAGUCCAAACAUCCUAUCAUGGAUUUCCAAGUAAAAAAGGGAAACAAAACGGAUGCAUGAUGAGUACCUGCAGAGAAUUCAUUCUCAUGUUGUACAAGAAAGUCAUCAUGUUUGGCCAGCUGAUCAUCAAGAAUCACUGAAGCGAGCUUCUCAUUCAGGUUCUUCACAAUUUUGGAAGGUAAAGCUACAGUCUUGGGAAUCUUCCUCGACUAAACAAGGAGAAUUAAUACACUAUAAACCCUCUGAGGCUUCGUCAAAAUGUUGCACGAGUUAUUAAUAACUUGGAAAUGGAGAAAGAAAAAGUAAAGCUUGAAUCUUUACAUACUAAUCAGUUUACCUCUUCACAAGGAACUCUUAAUAUCCCAGGACUGCCAUGGUUUUUUGCUGCAACGUUGACUGUUCUCUGUGCAAAACUCCUCUUCCACAGCCAUGGAUUGUUGUCCAUAACAAUAUCAGCUCUCUGCAAACAGCAGAAUCCACGAUUUAAAGCUUUCAUAUGCAUGCAACCUAUAAUCUUCAGAUCAUAAACCCAGAAGAGAAUACACAUUCCUUUCUAAGCAAACAACAGCACAGAAUUACACUAGGGAUCAUUCUCACCUGCUGAAAUUUGCAAUGUCACAAUUUGACAAACUAACCAAAGCCAAUGCAGUAUCAAGAACUUGAAGUCCUUCAAUAUUUCCGCAGAGACCAAAGCAUGGUAAAGAAUGGGGGAGAUAAGGUUGUUUUCUGCAGAAAUUUGGGUUGUGUAAAAGCUAAAAACUAAAAAGAGAUGGGUUUUACAUAGGAUACUGCUGCUUUUUGGCUGUGGA
This 1374-nucleotide long non-coding RNA is filed under the name Linum usitatissimum (flax). Its description in RNAcentral is "long non-coding RNA (LUSI_LNC002273)". Lineage: Eukaryota; Viridiplantae; Streptophyta; Magnoliopsida; Malpighiales; Linaceae. The record is from RNAcentral.